UACGGAGGGUGCGAGUGUUAUUCGGAUUUACUGGGCGUAAAGAGCACGUAGGCGGAUAGGCAAGUCAGAUGUGAAAGCCCGGAGCUUAACUCCGGAACUGCAUUUGAUACUGCUUGUCUUGAGUGUGGUAGAGGGGGGUGGAAUUCCCGGUGUAGAGGUGAAAUUCGUAGAUAUCGGGAGGAACACCAGAGGCGAAGGCGACCCCCUGGGCCAUAACUGACGCUGAGGUGCGAAAGCGUGGGGAGCAAACAGG
Molecule: ribosomal RNA, 253 nt
Filed under: uncultured bacterium
Lineage: Bacteria
Description: partial 16S ribosomal RNA
Rfam family: Bacterial small subunit ribosomal RNA
Source: RNAcentral